RNAcentral lists this small RNA (241 nucleotides) under Bacteriophage Lily. RNAcentral describes it as "BsrG". It matches the Rfam family "BsrG". Rfam says of the family: bsrE, bsrG and bsrH pair through intermolecular interactions with antisense sRNAs. The record is from Rfam by way of RNAcentral. Lineage: Duplodnaviria; Heunggongvirae; Uroviricota; Caudoviricetes.
GCAAUAGUGGCUCACGUGGGCGGUCGGCAUCACCUCGGAAAGGAGGUGAUGCCAAUGGAGACGUUUCAGGCUCUUCAAUUGAUGUUCCUAUUUGGAAUGUUUAUUCUAGCGCUUUUAACGUUUAUAAAAAAAUAGACCGCCCACCGUGCAAAGGUUAAGUGCGAUCUAUUUCGUAAAAACCCUAUAAGCCGACCGCCUAGUAGCGCGGCUAUUGCUGACCGUGGACGUUACAGCGUCUGCG